GGGUUGUGAGGUUAAGCGACUAAGCGUACACGGUGGAUGCCCUGGCAGUCAGAGGCGAUGAAGGACGUGCUAAUCUGCGAAAAGCGUCGGUAAGGUGAUAUGAACCGUUACAGCCGGCGAUGUCCGAAUGGGGAAACCCAGUGCAAUUCGUUGCACUAUCGUUAACUGAAUACAUAGGUUAACGAGGCGAACCGGGGGAACUGAAACAUCUAAGUACCCCGAGGAAAAGAAAUCAACCGAGAUUCCCCCAGUAGCGGCGAGCGAACGGGGAGCAGCCCAGAGUCUGAAUCAGCUUGUGUGUUAGUGGAACGGUCUGGAAAGUCCGACGGUACAGGGUGAUAGUCCCGUACACCAAAAUGCACAGGUUGUGAACUCGAAGAGUAGGGCGGGACACGUGGUAUCCUGUCUGAAUAUGGGGGGACCAUCCUCCAAGGCUAAAUACUCCUGACUGACCGAUAGUGAACCAGUACCGUGAGGGAAAGGCGAAAAGAACCCCGGCGAGGGGAGUGAAAAAGAACCUGAAACCGUGUACGUACAAGCAGUGGGAGCACCUUUAUGGUGUGACUGCGUACCUUUUGUAUAAUGGGUCAGCGACUUAUAUUCUGUAGCAAGGUUAACCGUAUAGGGGAGCCGCAGGGAAACCGAGUCUUAACUGGGCGUUAAGUUGCAGGGUAUAGACCCGAAACCCGGUGAUCUAGCCAUGGGCAGGUUGAAGGUUGGGUAACACUAACUGGAGGACCGAACCGACUAAUGUUGAAAAAUUAGCGGAUGACUUGUGGCUGGGGGUGAAAGGCCAAUCAAACCGGGAGAUAGCUGGUUCUCCCCGAAAGCUAUUUAGGUAGCGCCUCGUGAACUCAUCUUCGGGGGUAGAGCACUGUUUCGGCUAGGGGGUCAUCCCGACUUACCAACCCGAUGCAAACUACGAAUACCGAAGAAUGUUAUCACGGGAGACACACGGCGGGUGCUAACGUCCGUCGUGAAGAGGGAAACAACCCAGACCGCCAGCUAAGGUCCCAAAGUCAUGGUUAAGUGGGAAACGAUGUGGGAAGGCACAGACAGCCAGGAUGUUGGCUUAGAAGCAGCCAUCAUUUAAAGAAAGCGUAAUAGCUCACUGGUCGAGUCGGCCUGCGCGGAAGAUGUAACGGGGCUAAACC
Molecule: ribosomal RNA, 1154 nt
Filed under: Klebsiella quasipneumoniae subsp. similipneumoniae
Lineage: Bacteria; Pseudomonadati; Pseudomonadota; Gammaproteobacteria; Enterobacterales; Enterobacteriaceae
Description: bacterial LSU rRNA
Rfam family: Bacterial large subunit ribosomal RNA
Source: RNAcentral